This 445-nucleotide ribosomal RNA is filed under the name uncultured bacterium. RNAcentral describes it as "bacterial SSU rRNA". It matches the Rfam family "Bacterial small subunit ribosomal RNA", at positions 330 to 792 of the family's 1533-position model. The record is from RNAcentral.
GCCAGACUCCUACGGGAGGCAGCGGUGGGGAAUAUUGCACAAUGGGGGAAACCCUGAUGCAGCGACGCCGCGUGAGUGAAGAAGUAUUUCGGUAUGUAAAGCUCUAUCAGCAGGGAAGAAAAUGACGGUACCUGACUAAGAAGCCCCGGCUAACUACGUGCCAGCAGCCGCGGUAAUACGUAGGGGGCAAGCGUUAUCCGGAUUUACUGGGUGUAAAGGGAGCGUAGACGGUGAUGCAAGUCAGAAGUGAAAGCCCGGGGCUCAACUCCGGGACUGCUUUUGAAACUGUGUAACUGGAGUGCAGGAGAGGUAAGCGGAAUUCCUGGUGUAGCGGUGAAAUGCGUAGAUAUCAGGAGGAACACCAGUGGCGAAGGCGGCUUACUGGACUGUAACUGACGUUGAGGCUCGAAAGCGUGGGGAGCAAACAGGAUUAGAUACCCUUGUA